Monodelphis domestica (gray short-tailed opossum) is the source of this 1100-nucleotide long non-coding RNA. RefSeq lists it as uncharacterized. NCBI's taxonomy places the organism in Eukaryota, Metazoa, Chordata, Mammalia, Didelphimorphia, Didelphidae. The record is from RefSeq and is a predicted model, not a curated record.
CAGAUUCCCAGUCUUCAAAAAGAAACCUCUGAGCCACACUGGGCUAUGGGGAGGGCACUUUUCCCAAUUUCCAGUCUAAAUGUCUUAGGAUAAGCCUUCCUCCCUGGAAGCCUGAAUUCAUUUCGAGGAUACCUCAGCACGUGUCCAUGUGGAGUGGAGACCCACCGGAAAGAAGAAAUUCUAACUUGACAGGCCGCCAAUCAGUGGGCAUCUCUACUUCUGGGCGCCAUCCCGUAGUAGACCAUUCGGCCAGGGCCCGAGAGUGGGCCUUUGUGCCCCUCUGCUCCCAGCCAGGUGCUCAGCACUAGAAGACAUCCCAUCUCGUAAUUCCACACAUUUUCACUGGAUGUCCUGAAUGCCUGGAAAUAUUUUAUCUUCACUUCCUGACUUCUAUGUCUUCCUUCAAGUUCCAGAAAAGAUAAAAGCUCGUAAUGGUCUCCUGAACUGAUAUUGAAAGCUGGGAGAGAACUUAGACAUCAUCUAGUCAGAAAUGAUCUGAAAAUGGAAGAGACCUCAGAGACCAUCUUAUCCAACCUUUUAAUUUUUGCAAGUGAAGAAAAUGGGAUCCAAGGGGUCACAAAUAGAAAACUUCCUACCCCAAAGCAAUAUUUGAACUUGGGGCCUCUGACUUCAUAGUCAAUGUUCUUUACAGUCUAUUGCAUGGCUCCCUACCUGCUCUAGACCUAUAGAAUAUUCUAUCAACAAAAAUAAGAUUUACUUUCAUUACCAUGGAAUGCACUGCUUUCAACAAGCUUUUAUGUUGUAAAAAUAAAAUUGCGAGCUAUAUAAAAUAAAAUAUUUCCAUUGAAAAACUGUUCCAAUAUAGGUUCAAAACUGUUUAAUUCACCAAUCAGGUUCAAACUGUUCAGAUACUUUUGAUAGAGGUAAUCAAAGGUAUCCUCAGUGAUGAAGUGAAGCUCAAAUGUGAACCUCCCUUCAGGACUAGGCACAAGGACGCUAAAGAGACUCUUAUAAAAUAACGUGUUUAUUAAAAUAUAUAAAGUUAAAUAAAGUAUUUCUAAUUCUAUGGGAUUCUAAAUCCACCCAAAUAAACUCCCAGGUUCCUCUUCUCCUGUGUUUCACAGGCUACACUAAUCCUC